Octodon degus (degu) is the source of this 70-nucleotide small nucleolar RNA. RefSeq annotates it as small nucleolar RNA SNORD56. NCBI's taxonomy places the organism in Eukaryota, Metazoa, Chordata, Mammalia, Rodentia, Octodontidae. The record is from RefSeq and is a predicted model, not a curated record. The transcript has a single exon.
UUAGAGUGAUGCUAAUGUUUUCAAUUAACAGAUUGCUCCUAGAGAGAGUUGAUAAAUUGGGUCUGAGUGA